RNAcentral lists this ribosomal RNA (725 nucleotides) under uncultured bacterium. RNAcentral describes it as "bacterial SSU rRNA". It matches the Rfam family "Bacterial small subunit ribosomal RNA", at positions 28 to 753 of the family's 1533-position model. The record is from RNAcentral.
AUUGAACGCUGGCGGCAUGCUUUACACAUGCAAGUCGAACGGUAACAGGCCGCAAGGUGCUGACGAGUGGCGAACGGGUGAGUAAUGCAUCGGAACGUGCCCAGUCGUGGGGGAUAACGCAGCGAAAGCUGCGCUAAUACCGCAUACGAUCUAAGGAUGAAAGCGGGGACCGUAAGGCCUCGCGCGAUUGGAGCGGCCGAUGUCAGAUUAGGUAGUUGGUGGGGUAAAGGCUCACCAAGCCGACGAUCUGUAGCUGGUCUGAGAGGACGACCAGCCACACUGGGACUGAGACACGGCCCAGACUCCUACGGGAGGCAGCAGUGGGGAAUUUUGGACAAUGGGCGCAAGCCUGAUCCAGCAAUGCCGCGUGCAGGAAGAAGGCCUCGGGUUGUAAACUGCUUUUGUACGGAACGAAACGGCUCUGGUUAAUACCCGGGGCUAAUGACGGUACCGUAAGAAUAAGCACCGGCUAACUACGUGCCAGCAGCCGCGGUAAUACGUAGGGUGCGAGCGUUAAUCGGAAUUACUGGGCGUAAAGCGUGCGCAGGCGGUGCUGUAAGACAGGCGUGAAAUCCCCGGGCUUACCUGGGAGUGGCGCUUGUGACUGCAGUGCUGGAGUGCGGCAGAGGGGGAUGGAAUUCCGCGUGUAGCAGUGAAAUGCGUAGAUAUGCGGAGGAACACUGAUGGCGAAGGCAAUCCCCUGGGCCUGCACUGACGCUCAUGCA